RNAcentral lists this unclassified non-coding RNA (357 nucleotides) under Bombus terrestris (buff-tailed bumblebee). RNAcentral describes it as "misc RNA ENSBTSG00005031099.1". The record is from RNAcentral. Lineage: Eukaryota; Metazoa; Arthropoda; Insecta; Hymenoptera; Apidae.
UAAUGGAACGAAAGAGGUCAUUAAGCAACAAACGCGAUUGAUUCCAGUGGAAUUAAAACCCAAGGAGAAGCAGAAAGUCGUUUCUUUUCCAACGCGUGUAUAACUCACGUGCGAAUUCCACGUAUAAUUAGGUAAAUGUAAAAUGUCAAAAUUGUAAUGAAUUUAUCAUUUUUAGAUCUGACAUUGUGUACACGUACGUAUACAUUUGGAAAGCUUUAAUAAUUCAACAUUUUUUUAUCGCUCAAACCUGUCUGCAGUGUAGAACAAUUAAUUACCUUACGACGAAUGAUAUUUCUAUCGGCUUUCGGAUUGAAACCGUGGCCACGUGUGAGUAAACUGGACGAAGAUUACCAUAUU